Molecule: small nuclear RNA, 194 nt
Gene: U2
Rfam family: U2 spliceosomal RNA
About the family: U2 is a small nuclear RNA (snRNA) component of the spliceosome (involved in pre-mRNA splicing). Complementary binding between U2 snRNA (in an area lying towards the 5' end but 3' to hairpin I) and the branchpoint sequence (BPS) of the intron results the bulging out of an unpaired adenosine, on the BPS, which initiates a nucleophilic attack at the intronic 5' splice site, thus starting the first of two transesterification reactions that mediate splicing.
Source: Ensembl
ACCGCUUCUCGGCCUUUUGGCUAAGAUCAAGUGUAGUAUCUGUUUCUUAUCAGUUUAAUAUCUGAUAAAUUCCCUACCCGAGGGACCAUAUAUUAAAUUGAUUUUUGGAACUGGAGAUGAAAAAGGGAGCUUGCCCGUCCACUCCUCACGCAUCGACCUGGUAUUGCAGUACCUCCAGGACGAUUGCACCCCUC